Molecule: non-coding RNA, 355 nt
Organism: Bemisia tabaci
Lineage: Eukaryota; Metazoa; Arthropoda; Insecta; Hemiptera; Aleyrodidae
Source: RefSeq, a predicted model, not a curated record
CAUUGAAGGGGCGUUCUAAAUAUUUUAAAUAGCCUAAGUUUGUCAAACUGAGGUAAAUAGGCUAUAUUCCAUAAUAGAGUAUGAUUCACUAUUUUUAAAGGGGUUGCCUAUAUUGAAGGGGCGCUCAUAGUAAUUUUAAAAAGGCUAAGUUUGUCAAACUGAGGUAAAUAGGCUAUAUUCCAUAGUAGAAUAUGAUUCACCAUUUUUAAAGGGGUAGCCUAUAUUGAAGGGGCGCUUUAAAUAUUUUAAAUAGCCUAAGUUUGUCAAACUGAGGUAAAUAGGCUAUAUUCCAUAGUAAAGUAUGAUUCACUAUUUUUAAAGGGGUUGCCUAUAUUGAAGGGGCGCUUUAAAUAUU